Molecule: ribosomal RNA, 253 nt
Filed under: uncultured bacterium
Lineage: Bacteria
Description: partial 16S ribosomal RNA
Rfam family: Bacterial small subunit ribosomal RNA
Source: RNAcentral
UACGGAGGGGACUAGCGUUGUUCGGAAUUACUGGGCGUAAAGCGCACGUAGGCGGAUUUGUAAGUCAGGGGUGAAAUCCCGGGGCUCAACCUCGGAACUGCCUUCAAUACUGGCUAUCUUGAGUACGGGAGAGGUGUGUGGAACUCCGAGUGUAGAGGUGAAAUUCGUAGAUAUUCGGAAGAACACCAGUGGCGAAGGCGACACACUGGCCCGUUACUGACGCUGAGGCGCGAAAGCGUGGGGAGCAAACAGG